Molecule: ribosomal RNA, 499 nt
Filed under: uncultured bacterium
Lineage: Bacteria
Description: partial 16S ribosomal RNA
Rfam family: Bacterial small subunit ribosomal RNA
Source: RNAcentral
AUUGAACGCUGGCGGUAUGCUUAACACAUGCAAGUCGAACGAUGAGAAAGAGCUUGCUCUUUCGAUUAGUGGCGGACGGGUGCGUAACGCGUAGGAAUCUACCUAUUAGUGGGGGACAACUUAGGGAAACUUAAGCUAAUAUCGCAUACGCCCUACGGGGGAAAGAAGGGGAUCGCAAGACCUCUUGCUAACAGAUGAGCCUGCGUUGGAUGGGCUAGUUGGUGGGGUAAAAGCUAACCAAGGCGACGAUCCUUAACUGGUUUGAGAGAAUGAUCAGUCACACUGGAACUGAGACACGGUCCAGACUCCUACGGGAGGCAGCAGUGGGGAAUAUUGGACAAUGGGCGAAAGCCUGAUCCAGCAAUACCGCGUGUGUGAAGAAGGCCUUAGGGUUGUAAAGCACUUUCAAUUGGAAGGAAAACCUCGAAGCUAAUACCUUCGAGUUUGACAUUACCUUUAGAAGAAGCACCGGCUAACUCCGUGCCAGCAGCCGCGGUAA